GGAUUGGGAGGGUUCUACGGAACCCGUUUGGUGAAUCUAGUGCCGAGAAAAGCCUUCUAUGUGUUGAAUUUCUAGUACCCGUACCCCAAACCGACACAGGUGGGUGGGUAGAGCAUACCUAGGGGCGCGUGAUAACUCUCUCUAAGGAACUCGGCAAAAUGGCCCUGUAACUUCGGGAUAAGGGGUGCCUGCGUGAGCAGGCCGCAGUGAAAUGGCUCUGGCGACUGUUUACCAAAAACACAGGUCUCUGCUAAGUCGUAAGACGAUGUAUAGGGGCUGACUCCUGCCCAGUGCCGGAAGGUUAAGGAAGUUGGUUAGCGCAAGCGAAGCUGGCGACCGAAGCCCCGGUGAACGGCGGCCGUAACAAUAACGGUCCUAAGGUAGCGAAAUUCCUUGUCGGGUAAGUUCCGACCCGCACGAAAGGAGUAACGAUCAGAGCGCUGUCUCGGAGAGAGACACGGCGAAAUAGGAUUGUCCGUGAAGAUACGGACUACCUGCACCCGGACAGAAAGACCCUAUGAAGCUUUACUGUAACUUGGAAUUGUGUUCGGACUUUGUCUGCGCAGAAUAGGUGGGAGGCUAUGAAACGUUCCUCGCGGGGAACUGGAGCCAUCGUUGAGAUACCACUCUGGCAGAGUCUGGAUUCUAACCUACGGGGACAGUUCCAGGUGGGCAGUUUGACUGGGGCGGUCGCCUCCUAAAAUGUAACGGAGGCGCGCAAAGGUUCCCUCAGGCUGGUUGGAAAUCAGCCAUAGAGUGUAAAAGCAUAAGGGAGCUUGACUGUGAGACCUACAAGUCGAGCAGGGACGAAAGUCGGCUUUAGUGAUCCGACGGCACUGAGUGGAAGGGCCGUCGCUCAACGGAUAAAAGUUACUCUAAGGAUAACAGGCUGAUCUCCCCCAAGAGUUCACAUCGACGGGGAGGUUUGGCACCUCGAUGUCGGCUCGUCGCAACCUGGGGCGGUAGUACGUCCCAAGGGUUGGGCUGUUCGCCCAUUAAAGCGGCACGUGAGCUGGGUUCAGAACGUCGUGAGACAGUUCGGUCCAUAUCCGGUGUAGGCGUAGGAGCAUUGAAAGGAUCUCUCCUUAGUACGAGAGGACCGGGAGGGACGUACCUCUGGUGUACCUGUUAUCGUGCCAACGGUAAACGCAGGGUAGCCAUGUACGGAGUGGAUAACCGCUGAAAGCAUCUAAGUGGGAAGCCCACCUUAAGAUGAGUGCUCCCUUGAGGCCACGGGAAGACGACCCGUUUGAUAGGCGCUAGGUGGAAGUGCAGUAAUGCAUGCAGCCGAGGCGUACUAAUAGGCCGAUGGCUUGUCC
RNAcentral lists this ribosomal RNA (1319 nucleotides) under metagenome. Its description in RNAcentral is "bacterial LSU rRNA". It matches the Rfam family "Bacterial large subunit ribosomal RNA", at positions 1563 to 2925 of the family's 2925-position model. The record is from RNAcentral.